RNAcentral lists this small RNA (2375 nucleotides) under Histoplasma capsulatum. RNAcentral describes it as "hypothetical RNA". The record is from RNAcentral. RNAcentral also lists the same sequence under 1 other name. Lineage: Eukaryota; Fungi; Ascomycota; Eurotiomycetes; Onygenales; Ajellomycetaceae.
CCUGGCAAUAUAUUUAAUCCACUUCAAUUCCUCCCUCCCCCUCGCGGGCCCCGGACUUGCCCCUCUAGGGGAGGAAGAUGAGCAGGUUGGGGACCCCCAGGGGACAUAUGGGAACCAGAAGAAUGUAUAGCGAACAUUAAAUUCCCGUCGUACCCCGAUUUUAAGCAAGUGGGUUCCUGCAAACCAUGAUGGUCCCCAAGGGGGUCAUCCUGGAGCAAAAAGGCCCAUAGUUCGAAUUUUCUUCGCCAAACCUACGAUACUAUGGACAAUCCCUGAGGGUGAUAUAUUGCGCGCGCCGAUGGUCUACUAAUGAACUAAGUAGACGUCAGACCAUAUGGGCGUUAUUGCCACGGUGCUUCGAAUGGUCUAACCAGGGGGAAAUGCGUCAUGACUGACCAUUCUAGUGCUUUGAGAGAGUUGAUUGGAAUGGCGAUUGACUUGACUUCGUUUAUUUCAGGAUAAUAUAAAGUAUAUAUAUAGUCAAGGUACAGACAGGAUUUUGAGGUCAGCGCGGGAGUAUAUCAGCCCAGGAAUUUCACUUCUGCAUGUCUUCUUGAAGAAAGGUUUAAAACGCACGAGACCAAUUUGCAAGAUUAUUUGCAUGUGGAGGAGUUCCGGUGGAUGGGGAAAGCAAAAGAGACCUAAACCCGGAUGACAUCCUUUUCCAUCGUAGGUACUUCACCUAGGUUAGGGAUAUAACUAUAUUGCCGUCUCAAAUAAGCAUCUGUAGGUGAAACAGCAGUCCCAUGGGAUCGAACAGUAUGUUCUGCUGGUGCUGUAAUCGUUGAUUCUUGUCUACUACUCAACAGAUGGAUCAAUGCAAGAAAAUAGAGGAAGGGUUGAUGGACAAUGGGGCAAAAGAAUCCCUUAGGUUGUUCUUGACAAUAAGCUUCAGGGGAAAGAAGACGAAACAGCACAAGGAAUGGGUAAAUGAAUAGGACACAAGAAAAACAUCACACUAGAAAUCGUGUUUUACCUAUUUUUCUGUAUCCCAGAGAACAAACAGUGGAAAGUAAGGAGGUCAAGCAAAUUAAUACAAAGAAAAAAAAAACACGAAAUAUAACCACCUUCAACUGCACUCGCCAUCCCCUUUCCUUCUUUCGGGGACCUCCCAGUUCGUUCCAUUCAGGUAGAGAAAUUUAAAUAGAGUUGGCAAGAGAAAAGAAGCAAAGAUGUCAACGUAUGCCAACCGCUAUCUAUGCAUCCACUUUUCAUUGUCACUUUUCCCAUCAAUACGUCGUAUCAACAAGGUGAAGUUAAAAAAUUAGAUAUCUUAAACAAAAGGUGCAGGAAUGGAACAAGAUGACCGUCCAGUGCAUCAAUCGUAGUUAUCAUAUCCACAGCGCAGGACGAGAGAAACCAUGUUUAUUUCCGAAUCAACCCGUUCCCAGGAAAGAUAGAAAAGAAUCAUUACAUAAAAAAUAUCCCGAAUUGCCUAACGACUGCCAACCUCCUUAAUAUGUCCUUGCCAGAUUUCGCAAGUACCAAUCCACCAACCUCCUCCCUGCCUUCGCCUCACUAAUAUGAAUCAGAUCGCCCUCGAUAGCAUAAUCCAGGUCAUUUGCAUUCGCAACCUCCCCUUCCAACAACCCACCAUCCGACCAUCGGAUCUGUCGGCUGCGCUGCUUAUUGACAAGUAGCCAUGAGCGCAGCUGCUGCGGCUCCACGUCCAAAAAGCCCGCAAGCUUCUGCAGAUCCAUCGUCGUGUAGAGCUUGAGGUAAGACUUGACGGUGGGGUUGUAUAGGGUGUUGCGGACCUCGUCCAUGAAGAUGGCCGUUUGGUGGUCAACGGGGUCGACGUUCAUGGCUGGGUUUUCGAAGUCUGGCGGGGUUGGGCUGAUGAAUUUGGGGCAGGCUGAGCGGAAAAGCUCUUCGAAGAGCGGGAGGGCUUCGGGUCCGCCGUGCUGGAGGCGGUUGAAUUGCUCGCCAUAUUUCUCGCGAAGAGCGGAGUGGAUGGUGUCGUCGAGACGGGUGGGGUGGAAUGCGACGCAGAUGGCAAUUAGGGCGUACAUCUGGUCGUUCUUCUUGGCGAUGGCAUCGUAGCUGUUGCUGCCCUUCUGGAAGUUCUUGGUGCGGGAUACAUAGACGAGGAUGUGACUGAACAUGCGAAUGGCGUCGGCGUAGCGGCGCAUCAUCAUGUAGGAGAAGCCUACGUAGUAGUACGUCGUGAAGUGGGCGGCCAUAACGCGGGCAAACAUGGCCUUUUUGUUCAUCUCGAUAUCAUCGAGAGUUUUGAGGGCGAGACUAAAGUCGCCAAGCAAGCAGUGGACGCGGAGUAGACCGAUGAUAGAAAAAUACCCCAGCAUUCGGUAGAGAGGCCGGUUUCCGUAUUCUCCUGCAACGGCUGCGGGGUCUUCGUUGCGCUUGAUUGCUGC